Molecule: long non-coding RNA, 563 nt
Organism: Lutra lutra (Eurasian river otter)
Lineage: Eukaryota; Metazoa; Chordata; Mammalia; Carnivora; Mustelidae
Exons: 4
Source: RefSeq, a predicted model, not a curated record
AAACAACAAAGGUUAUAAUGCAAGUAAGACCUAUUUCCAAAUGUCUCCUGCUGCCAGACUAGAAACUGCCAUAGUGAAAGGAGCACUGGGCUGGGAGUCUGAAGACUGGCGGUGCCACUUGGAAGUACUCAGCAGCCCUGGCCCCGCUGUCACCCCAGAAUCAAGUAUCUUGCCAAGACAACCUGAUAGAGUCUGCGGGAAAAGUGGAAGAAAGUUGUUCUUUCCCAUCAGUGCAGCAUAUCAGAAACUGCUCUCUGCAGAGGAAAAGGUUGGUGGCUGUGGCGGACCCCCUUCUGAUGAAAUCUGAAACAAACCUCUUGGAACUUGGGAUUUUGCUCUUAAGCCAGGAGUCAGGAUGUUGUGGGGGUUUCUUUAAAAGUCUGGAGAGGCUUCACAAGUGGUCAGAAGCAGUGAGACAAACUCUGGGCUUGGCACCAGGAGUCCAGGAGCCUGCCCCAGGCCCUUUGCAGUUGCUGUUCCCUCUGCCUGGAAGAAUCUCCACUUGGCUGUUCUUGGGGCUCAGGUCACAGCUCAGAAGUCAGCUCCUCAAAGGGGGCUUUCUC